GACUUUGUGGUGCAACGGUAGCGUGUCUUGACUCCACAUUGGAAGGUUGUGUGUUCAAAUCACAUUGGGGUCA
This 73-nucleotide transfer RNA is filed under the name Lepisosteus oculatus (spotted gar). It matches the Rfam family "tRNA". Rfam says of the family: Transfer RNA (tRNA) molecules are approximately 80 nucleotides in length. The record is from Rfam by way of RNAcentral. Lineage: Eukaryota; Metazoa; Chordata; Actinopteri; Semionotiformes; Lepisosteidae.